This 253-nucleotide ribosomal RNA is filed under the name uncultured bacterium. RNAcentral's name for it is "partial 16S ribosomal RNA". It matches the Rfam family "Bacterial small subunit ribosomal RNA", at positions 524 to 776 of the family's 1533-position model. The record is from RNAcentral.
UACGGGGGGGGCAAGCGUUGUUCGGAAUUACUGGGCGUAAAGGGCUCGUAGGCGGCCAACUAAGUCAGACGUGAAAUCCCUCGGCUUAACCGGGGAACUGCCUCUGAUACUGGGUGGCUUGAGAUUGGGAGAGGGAUGCGGAAUUCCAGGUGUAGCGGUGAAAUGCGUAGAUAUCUGGAGGAACACCGGUGGCGAAGGCGGCAUCCUGGACCAACACUGACGCUGAGGAGCGAAAGCCAGGGGAGCAAACGGG